Thunnus maccoyii (southern bluefin tuna) is the source of this 7167-nucleotide RNA transcript. It is a transcript of the gene named rho-associated, coiled-coil containing protein kinase 2a, with no coding region annotated. Lineage: Eukaryota; Metazoa; Chordata; Actinopteri; Scombriformes; Scombridae. The record is from RefSeq and is a predicted model, not a curated record. The transcript is spliced from 34 exons.
GUGUUGAUGUCAGGGGGAGGAGAGAGGCUGCAGACUCAGUCGGUGUGUAGAUGUGUGUGUACAGCCAACAACUCAGCGGCCGGAGGACUUUUCUCUACCAGUUCAACAACUUACUUUUUUCGUGAAUAAAGCACUACAAAAAAGGACAAAGUCGAGGAGGACAAAUGCGAAAAUGCGAGAAGAAAUCCAGGAAGAGAGUGUCUGCUUAUUAAAAAUUCAGCGCGGGAGAGCAGACAUUAUCGCCCUUUCUGAUGACUUGUGGCAGCACUGAGGAUAAACUAACACUAACGGGCUUCAGACAUUAUUGAAUGGGGUGAAACGAGGCGGAAUUUUCUCUGAAAACCGAGUCACCGAGGCAUUUCCAGGCGGUCAAAACCCCAAAGGGAAGGGGAGGUGAGGGGGGCAAAGAAAACGCCCUGCUGCCUGUUGCUGGUAUCUCCAAAAUUCAAACUUUAUCGCCGAGUUGGAAAAAAUGCAUCUCUGGUGAUUAUUCAAGUGUAACGUUGUCUUUAUUAGCUCAAAGCCAGACAGAUAGCUAACUGGCUGAAGCCCCCCCACCCCCUCCCCAGCUCGCUCGGCAAGUUUUUUGGGAAGCGGGGAGUCUCUUUGCUUUGGGAAUAUUUUCUCCUCAUUGUGCACACUAUUCCUGUUGGAAGCGAUUUGGGUGGGCUGAGAGCCGCUAGGCCCGCGGCCACAUUAGCCACGAACAAAGACGUUUCACAUGUGAACUCAAACAGUUUGGGGAAAACCUCUUCAUCAUUUCUUUUUUUUACUCAGCUUUUUAACGACCCACUCUGCAGACAUGUCGCUCGGCGCCGAGAGGAGGACGGAAACCCGGCUGAAGAGGCUGGAGGACAUGAUCAGAAACCCCAGGUCUGCCAUGAACCUGGAAAGUUUGCUGGACUCCAUAAACGCCCUUGUCUUGGACUUGGACUACCCCGCACUACGCAAGAACAAAAACAUCGAAACCUUCUUAAACAGAUAUGAGGCGGUCAUAGGACAAGUUCGAGACCUACAGAUGAAGUCUGAUGACUUUGACAGAGUUAAAGUAAUUGGUCGAGGGGCGUUCGGUGAGGUCCAACUGGUCAGACAUAAAAUCUCUCAGAAGGUCUACGCCAUGAAGCUGCUGAGCAAGUUUGAGAUGAUCAAGCGCUCAGAUUCAGCCUUCUUCUGGGAAGAAAGGGACAUCAUGGCCUUCGCCAACAGUCCCUGGGUUGUGCAGUUGUGCUGUGCCUUCCAAGAUGAGCACUACCUCUACAUGGUGAUGGAGUACAUGCCAGGAGGUGACCUGGUCAACCUCACCAGCACCUAUGACGUGCCGGAGAAAUGGGCCAAAUUCUACACAGCAGAGGUGGUGAUGGCCCUGGAUGCCAUUCACUCCAUGGGCUUCAUCCACCGUGACGUCAAGCCGGACAACAUGCUGCUGGACAGACACGGACACCUGAAGCUGGCCGACUUCGGCACGUGCAUGAAGAUGGACUCUACCGGCAUGGUGCACUGUGAUACAGCGGUCGGUACUCCGGACUACAUCUCUCCAGAGGUGCUGAAAUCCCAGGGAGGAGAUGGGUGUUAUGGGAGAGAGUGUGACUGGUGGUCCGUAGGGGUCUUCAUCUUUGAAAUGCUUGUCGGUGACACACCGUUCUACGCUGACUCUCUGGUGGGAACUUACAGUAAGAUCAUGGACCAUAAAAACUCUCUGAACUUCCCUGAUGAUGUGGAGAUCUCCAAAGAUGCCAGGAAUAUUAUCUGUGCCUUCCUGACUGACAGGGAGGUGCGAUUGGGCAGGAACGGCGUGGAGGAAAUCAAGCGACACCCUUUCUUCAAGAAUGACCAGUGGACCUUUGACACCAUGAGAGACACGGUUGCCCCUGUGGUUCCAGAGCUGAGCAGCGACAUAGACACCAGUAACUUUGAUGAGAUCGAAGACGACAAAGGCGACGUAGAAACUUUCCCCACUCCUAAGGCCUUUGUUGGAAACCAGUUACCCUUUGUUGGCUUCACCUACUUCAAAGAAAACCAGUUACUAAACAUCUCCAACAACACCUCGGCCACUCAUGAGAAUUCAAAAGGAGAGUGGGCAGCGAUGCAGAAGAAACUUCACCACCUGGAGGUGCAGCUGAAUAAUGAGAAACAGGUCAAAGAUGAUGUAGAGCACAAAUACAGAGCUGCCACUGGUCGCCUAGACAAAAUCUCCAAAGAACUUGAGGAAGAGGUGAGCAGCAGGAAGAAUCUGGAGUCAAGCAUGAGGCAGCUGGAGAGGGAGAAGGCCCUGCUGCAGCACAAGAGCCUGGAGAGCCACCGCAAGGCUGAGAGCGAGGCCGACAGGAAGCGCUGCCUGGAGAAUGAAGUCAACAGCCUUCGAGACCAGCUGGACGACAUGAAAAGAAGAAACCAGAAUUCACACAUUUCCAAUGAGAAGAACAUUCACCUUCAGAAACAGCUGGAAGAAGCCAACACGUUGCUGCGGGCCGAGUCGGAGGCGGCGACGAGGCUCCGUAAAACCCAGACGGAGAGCAGCAAGCAGCUGCAGCAGCUGGAGGCCAACGUGCGUGAGCUGCAGGACAAAUGUUGUCUGCUGGAGCGCAGCAAGCUGAGCCUGGAGAAGGAAUGCAUCAGUCUGCAGGCGGCACUGGAGACAGAGCGGAGGGAGCACAGCCAGGGCUCAGAGACCAUCAGCGACCUGAUGGGACGAAUCUCUGGUCUGGAGGAGGAGGCACGUAAGCAGAGACAAGUCCUGUCUAAAGCGGAGACUGAGAAGAGACAGCUUCAGGAGAAACUCACUGACCUGGAGAAGGAGAAGAGCAACAAGGAGAUUGAUUUGACCUACAAGCUGAAGGUGCUGCAGCAGGAGCUGGAACAGGAGGAGACCUCUCACAAGACCACCAGGGCAAUGCUGGCAGACAAGAGCAAGAUCAAAGUAACCAUCGAGGGUGCCAAGUCAGAGUCCAUGAAGGAGAUGGAGCAGAAGCUGGCGGAGGAGCGAGCAGCCAAACUGCGGCUGGAGAACAGAAUACUGGAGCUGGAGAAGCACAGCAGCAUGAUGGACUGUGACUAUAAACAGGCUCUGCAGAAACUGGACGAGCUGCGCAGACACAAGGACCGCCUCACCGAGGAGGUGAAGAACCUGACGCUGAAGAUCGAGCAGGAAACCCAGAAGCGUAACCUGACUCAGAACGACCUGAAGGCCCAAAACCAACAACUCAGCUCUCUGCGAACGUCCGAGAAGCAGCUCAGACAGGAAAUGAAUCACCUGCUGGACAUCAAACGCAGCUUGGAGAAACAAAACCAAGAGCUGCGCAAAGAAAGACAAGACACAGACGGACAAAUGAAGGAAUUACAAGAUCAGUUAGAGGCCGAACAGUAUUUCUCUACGCUGUAUAAGACACAGGUUCGUGAACUUAAGGAGGAGUGUGAGGAGAGGAACAAACUCUACAAAGACGUGCAGCAGUCCCUGCAGGAUCAACAGGAAGAGAGGGAUUCUUUGGCAGCUCAGCUUGAGAUCACCCUGACUAAGGCUGACUCAGAGCAGCUGGCGCGCUCUAUUGCAGAGGAGCAGUACUCGGACCUGGAGAAGGAGAAAAUAAUGAAGGAGCUGGAGCUGAAGGAGAUGAUGGCCCGCCACCGUCAGGAACUGGCUGAGAAGGACAUCACCAUCAGUUCGCUGGAGGAAGCCAACAGGACCUUGACCAGCGAUGUCGCCAAUCUGGCCAAUGAGAAGGAGGAGCUGAAUAAUAAACUGAAGGAGGCAGUAGAGGAAACAGAGAAGUCCAAGGAUUGGGAGCAGCAUAUCAACCAGAUGAAGCAGACAUUUGAUAAGCAGCUGCAGUCAGAGAGGACACUGAAAACUCAGGCCGUCAAUAAGCUGGCAGAGAUCAUGAACAGGAAGGUGGAUCGCGGUGGAGGCAGUCGCCGUGGUAACGACACAGACAUACGGCGAAAGGACAAGGAGAACAGGAAGCUGCAGGCGGAGCUCAGGUCGGAGAAGGAGAAGCUCAACAGCACCAUCAUCAAAUACCAGAGAGAGAUCAACGAAAUGCAGGCGCAAUUGGCAGAUGAGAGCCAGAUGCGUAUCGAGCUGCAGAUGGCUCUGGACAGUAAGGACAGCGACAUCGAGCAGCUGAGGAACCUCCUGCAGUCGCUCAGCGUGCAAUCCAUGGACUCCGCCAGCGUCAGCAGCGGGCCUGAGUUUGAUGCCGAUGAUGCGUACGCAGAAAUGAGGCUCGAGGGGUGGCUCUCCCUCCCUGUAAGAAACAACACCAAGAAGUUCGGAUGGGAGAAAAAGUAUGUUGUAGUGAGCAGCAAAAAGAUUCUCUUCUACAACAGCGAGCAAGACAGAGAGCAGUCCAUUCCCUACAUGGUGCUUGAUAUAGACAAACUCUUCCAUGUGAGGCCUGUCACUCAAACGGAUGUGUACCGAGCUGACUCCAAAGAGAUUCCCAGGAUAUUCCAGAUUCUUUAUGCCAAUGAAGGCGAGAGCAAAAAGGAGCCAGAGUUUCCCGUGGAGCCGCUGGCCAUCGGGGAGAAGUCUAGCUACAUCUGCCAUAAAGGACACGAGUUCAUCCACACGCUGUACCACUUCCCCACCAACUGUGAGGCGUGCACCAAGCCGCUGUGGAACAUGUUCAAGCCGCCGCCAGCUCUGGAGUGUCGGCGCUGCCACAUCAAGUGCCACAAGGACCAUAUGGACAAGAAGGAGGAGAUCAUCGCUCCCUGUAAAGUGAACUACGACGUGUCUACAGCCAAGAACCUGCUGCUGCUGGCCGCGUCCCAGGAGGAGCAGCAGAAGUGGGUCAGCCGACUGGUCAAGAAGAUUCCCAAGAAGCCUCCGCCGCCAGAGCACUUUGCGCGCUCCUCGCCACGCGCCUCCAUGAAGGUCCAGCCCAGCCAAUCUAUGAGGAGACCCAGUCGACAGCUCCCCACCAGCAAGAGCAGACUGUUCCCUGUGAACGACUGAAGUCCUGAAUGUGUAUUCUGCGCACUACUCCCAUUGGUAUCUACAAAAAACAGGAUUCCUUGGUAUUAUUUCAACCAUAAAGUCUUACUGGCAGUUAACCUUGCUUUGGGAGUGUGGUGCGUCUUGAAGGUGGCAGAGUGUGUUUCAUCCUAAAUCGAAGACUAUAUAUGAAGCUCCGUUUGCAGAUCGGCACACUGAACUCCACUCCACUCUUCCACAACCCCACCCUGUCCUGCUUCAGCCCGUGAGAGUUACAAAAAGUCUGUUUUUCCUCUUUUGUUCAAGUUCUUUCCCAGCCACUUGAAGCGGUAACGACGAUCAAACUCACCUCAACACCUGUGAUCUUUUCAGCAAGCUGGACGGCUUGUGAGCAUAUUAGCUGAAGAAGUCUUCUCUCGAGCCCUCGACUAGAGCAAUUAUGUGUCUCUGAGGGGGCCGGAGUAGCUCGUUCAGCUCCCACAGAACAGAAGAGAGCUCUUAUAAAGCCCUACCAGGGCCGGCAAGAAGGGGAUACACUUACCUCACCACUUCUCACCAGGACACUGUCUGAUUGAAGGACCCAGCAAGAAAACGCUCAACUCCUCAUCAUCACCUUUGGGGAUUCUUGUGGCCAAAUGAAUAAAAAGACGUUCUUGUGUUAAAUGAUUGUGAAUAAUAUGAAGGGUUUAGCGGGGAACACUACACUCAGAAGACGGUAAAUUCUGUAAUUUGUUGGCUGGACACAACUGAGGCUGUUGAACUUUAUCCCCGACACAGCAUCUGUACUUACGCAUAUUCUUUCACAUACUGAUUGUAGCUUCUUGCUUCCCACGAUUCUGCUUUCAGGUGCAUGUCCACACGGGUCACAGAAACUUGAAUAAGGUACUUAAGCAAGCGAGCUGUGACUUCUCGGAAAGUCAACAAAGCGGGGGGGGGGGGGGGGGGGGGAGGGGGGGGGAUGGAGUGUCAGAUUCCUCCAGGAUUUGAGCAAAUAAUUCCUCGAAUGCCUCUUAUUCAGAUUUCUGACUCAGGCACGCUCUGAAUCAUCGGCCUGCCGUUGUUUGACUACAGUUAACGUAAAGCGAACAGAUUCCCACUCUGAAUGGCAAUAGAUGAAGGGCCAGACAUGAGAUCCUCACAAUCCCGUAAUCUUACAAACCUGCACUGUCAGUUAUGAGGGUUAAUGUUUACUGAAUUCAAGGGAUGCACCGUUAAAUGCUUUUCUGAUCCGAGCUCGGCUCCUUUUUGUUGUUUUUGAAUGUACAUCUGGGCUUUACCAGAGACGACACACAGGCAUUGUAUUACUUGUAUCCAAAUAUACUUGACUGAAGCUGAAGCCCCCCUUUUUAUCACAAACUACUCUGAGUGAACUUGCAUGUGUUUGCCUUUUUUAGGCCUCACACACUUGAAUGCUGUCACCCCCGGGCCUCCAACCUAUCAAGAAAUGUAGUUUUUAAAAAUCAUUCAAAUGAGGGGAAUUUACCAAUAAGAAGCAGAAAACAAUGAAGGUAUGCAGUCAUAUCCAAAUCAACAUACUGAGCAGCACUAUUCCAUUGAAAGUUUUUCUAAAAGUGUUUGUCCUGAUAUUUUUGUAUUAAAAGUAACCAAACUCUGAGUUUGGGCACAUUGUUGUGUGUAUGUGGCUUAUAUAGCAGAUGGAGAGUAACUGUGUGUAUGUGUCUGUGUGUGUAUGUAUGUGUGUGUGUGCGUGUGUGUGUGUACCGAGUGCUCUCCUUUAACCAAGAAGCAUGUUUUAUACAUAUAAAUAUACACAGUAUAUAUUUUACAUGCCAUACAGCGCACAUUAUAUUAUUUAUACAGCUGUGUCCACUUUGUAUUUAAGGGCUCUACAUCCAGAUUGCAUGUUUGCUACCAAACUGCUCUAUAAUAAUUACCACUUCAACAAUAAAGACAUGGAUGUGCCUUUUGGUUUUGUUAUUAUUUUUUUUUGUCUUUUAAUUAUCGUGGAAGUGAUGAUGUCACAGUGUUUGCAUGAGAACUUUUUUCGGUGAGUUUUAAAUGUUGCACACUGGAAUGAACACACUGUAAGAAGUUAAAAUGUUUGGUUUAUUAAAAUAGUUCAGAAAAGAACUUUACAUGUAUAAAAUUCAAAAAUACAGUAUUUAUGCUAAGUGUGAAGAUCUCAGAUGUACUUGGCUUGUGCUGUCCUACUACUUGAAGACACCACACAUACAGUAUAGUAAAUAUUUAUUCACUGGUGUGUCAUAAAAAGU